Long non-coding RNA from Ipomoea triloba (trilobed morning glory), 466 nucleotides. RefSeq lists it as uncharacterized. The record is from RefSeq and is a predicted model, not a curated record. The transcript is spliced from 2 exons. Lineage: Eukaryota; Viridiplantae; Streptophyta; Magnoliopsida; Solanales; Convolvulaceae.
UCCUGCAUAUAUAUUAUAUUGUCUUGUUCUGUUCGUACGUAGAAUUCGACCAGUGAGUAAUCAUGGCUAGAAUCAAACCUUUUCUACGCUUUGUCUUGUUCACAGUGAUGAUCAUCUUCUUCUUCACAUGCAUCUCCCAGCUCCAUGCCAGGCCUAUCCCAAACCAACAUCCACAACCUAGCUCUUCAAACAUGAUGGCGACGCUUGGUUUGGUCUGCAAAUGCUGUGAUGGGAAAGGAGGGAAAUGCAGCAGCUCGUGGAAAGGGUCUUGCUCAAACCUCCAUUGCUCUCCAUGGAGGAAUUAUUAGUUCAAUAUAUACAUACACUCUCAAUCACUGUAAUAAAAUUACUUUCCACAAAAUCUCUUCACUAAUAAGUUAUAUAUAAAAGUAGGGUUUUUCUAUGGGAAUAUCACAUCAACUUGAUAGUACCAUAGAAAAUCUUUACGAAAAAGUUCAUUGUUGUU